This 77-nucleotide transfer RNA is filed under the name Actinomycetota bacterium. RNAcentral's name for it is "Actinobacteria bacterium (freshwater metagenome) tRNA-Trp". It matches the Rfam family "tRNA". From Rfam's summary of the family: Transfer RNA (tRNA) molecules are approximately 80 nucleotides in length. Their secondary structure includes four short double-helical elements and three loops (D, anti-codon, and T loops). Lineage: Bacteria; Bacillati; Actinomycetota. The record is from RNAcentral.
GCUCCCGUAGCUCAGGUGGAUAGAGCAACGGUUUCCAGAACCGCAGGGCGCAGGUUCGAUCCCUGCCGAGGGCGCCA